GGACGAACGCUGGCGGCGUGCUUACCACAUGCAAGUCGAACGGAAAGGCCCUGCUUUUGUGGGGUGCUCGAGUGGCGAACGGGUGAGUAACACGUGAGUAACCUGCCCUUGACUUUGGGAUAACUUCAGGAAACUGGGGCUAAUACCGGAUAGGAGCUCCUGCUGCCUGGUGGGGGUUGGAAAGUUUCGGCGGUUGGGGAUGGACUCGCGGCUUAUCAGCUUGUUGGUGGGGUAGUGGCUUACCAAGGCUUUGACGGGUAGCCGGCCUGAGAGGGUGACCGGCCACAUUGGGACUGAGAUACGGCCCAGACUCCUACGGGAGGCAGCAGUGGGGAAUAUUGCACAAUGGGCGGAAGCCUGAUGCAGCAACGCCGCGUGCGGGAUGACGGCCUUCGGGUUGUAAACCGCUUUCGCCUGUGACGAAGCGUGAGUGACGGUAAUGGGUAAAGAAGCACCGGCUAACUACGUG
Molecule: ribosomal RNA, 469 nt
Filed under: uncultured bacterium
Lineage: Bacteria
Description: partial 16S ribosomal RNA
Rfam family: Bacterial small subunit ribosomal RNA
Source: RNAcentral